Molecule: ribosomal RNA, 492 nt
Filed under: uncultured bacterium
Lineage: Bacteria
Description: partial 16S ribosomal RNA
Rfam family: Bacterial small subunit ribosomal RNA
Source: RNAcentral
AGUGAACGCUGGCGGUAGGCCUAACACAUGCAAGUCGAACGGCAGCACAGUAAGAGCUUGCUCUUACGGGUGGCGAGUGGCGGACGGGUGAGGAAUACAUCGGAAUCUACUUUUUCGUGGGGGAUAACGUAGGGAAACUUACGCUAAUACCGCAUACGACCUACGGGUGAAAGCAGGGGAUCUUCUGACCUUGCGCGAUUGAAUGAGCCGAUGUCGGAUUAGCUAGUUGGCGGGGUAAAGGCCCACCAAGGCGACGAUCCGUAGCUGGUCUGAGAGGAUGAUCAGCCACACUGGAACUGAGACACGGUCCAGACUCCUAAGGGAGGCAGCAGUGGGGAAUAUUGGACAAUGGGCGCAAGCCUGAUCCAGCCAUACCGCGUGGGUGAAGAAGGCCUUCGGGUUGUAAAGCCCUUUUGUUGGGAAAGAAAAGCAGCAGGUUAAUACCACGCUGUUCUGACGGUACCCAAAGAAUAAGCACCGGCUAACUUCGUG